AUGAGUUUUUAUGGUCUUUGUUGGUUUUUGAUUGACAAAGUUACCUAAAACUUCAUCCUUUGUUUAUACAAACUGUAUACUUUGGCAAGACGCUUUGACUUGAAUUUGGAGAAUAUUCAGCCACAAGAAAAAGCCACUGACGUCAUUUACUUGACAGUGAGUGUGUUUGCUUGCCAAAGGUUUAACUCUUUUAUACUGUUGUCUGAGUACUACAAAAAUAAAUUA
This 225-nucleotide unclassified non-coding RNA is filed under the name uncultured fungus. RNAcentral describes it as "sequence contains ITS1, 5.8S rRNA gene". Lineage: Eukaryota; Fungi. The record is from RNAcentral.